AGCGAACGCUGGUGGCAGGCCUAACACAUGCAAGUCGAACGAACCUUUCGGGGUUAGUGGCGGACGGGUGAGUAACACGUGGGAACGUGCCUUUAGGUUCGGAAUAACUCAGGGAAACUUGUGCUAAUACCGAAUGUGCCCUUCGGGGGAAAGAUUAAUCGCCUUUAGAGCGGCCCGCGUCUGAUUAGCUAGUUGGUUGAGGUAAUGGCUCACCAAGGCGACGAUCAGUAGCUGGUCUGAGAGGAUGAACAGCCACAUUGGGACUGAGACACGGCCCAAACUCCUACGGGAGGCAGCAGUGGGGAAUCUUGCGCAAUGGGCGAAAGCCUGACGCAGCCAUGCCGCGUGAAUGAUGAAGGUCUUAGGAUUGUAAAAUUCUUUCACCGGGGACGAUAAUGACGGUACCCGGAGAAGAAGCCCCGGCUAACUUCGUG
RNAcentral lists this ribosomal RNA (434 nucleotides) under uncultured bacterium. RNAcentral describes it as "partial 16S ribosomal RNA". It matches the Rfam family "Bacterial small subunit ribosomal RNA", at positions 29 to 507 of the family's 1533-position model. The record is from RNAcentral.